Molecule: transfer RNA, 72 nt
Filed under: Camelus ferus (Wild Bactrian camel)
Lineage: Eukaryota; Metazoa; Chordata; Mammalia; Artiodactyla; Camelidae
Rfam family: tRNA
About the family: Transfer RNA (tRNA) molecules are approximately 80 nucleotides in length.
Source: Rfam by way of RNAcentral
GGGGGUAUAGCUCUGUGGUAGAGCAUGUGCUUAGCGUGCAUGAGGUCCUGGGUUCAAUCCCCAUUACCUCCA